AACUUUCAGCAACGGAUCUCUUGGCUCUCGCAUCGAUGAAGAACGCAGCGAAAUGCGAUAAGUAAUGUGAAUUGGCAGAAUUCAGUGAAUCAUCGAAUCUUUGAACGCACCUUGCGCUCCUUGGUAUUCCGAGGAGCAUGCCUGUUUGAGUGUCAU
This 156-nucleotide ribosomal RNA is filed under the name Hebeloma pusillum. Its description in RNAcentral is "5.8S ribosomal RNA". It matches the Rfam family "5.8S ribosomal RNA". Rfam says of the family: 5.8S ribosomal RNA (5.8S rRNA) is a component of the large subunit of the eukaryotic ribosome. Lineage: Eukaryota; Fungi; Basidiomycota; Agaricomycetes; Agaricales; Hymenogastraceae. The record is from RNAcentral.